RNAcentral lists this ribosomal RNA (372 nucleotides) under uncultured organism. RNAcentral describes it as "partial 16S ribosomal RNA". It matches the Rfam family "Bacterial small subunit ribosomal RNA", at positions 526 to 896 of the family's 1533-position model. The record is from RNAcentral.
GUAGGGGUGCAAGCGUUAAUCGGAAUUACUGGGCGUAAAGCGUGCGCAGGGCGGUUUUGUAAGUCUGUCGUGAAAGCCCCGGGGCUCAACCUGGGAAUUGCGAUGGAGACCGCAAGGCUUGAAUCUGGCAGAGGGGGGUAGAAUUCCACGUGUAGCAGUGAAAUGCGUAGAGAUGUGGAGGAACACCGAUGGCGAAGGCAGCCCCCUGGGUCAAGAUUGACGCUCAUGCACGAAAGCGUGGGGAGCAAACAGGAUUAGAUACCCUGGUAGUCCACGCCCUAAACGAUGUCUACUAGUUGUCGGGUUUUAAUUAACUUGGUAACGCAGCUAACGCGUGAAGUAGACCGCCUGGGGAGUACGGUCGCAAGAUUA